Molecule: ribosomal RNA, 21 nt
Filed under: Beauveria bassiana
Lineage: Eukaryota; Fungi; Ascomycota; Sordariomycetes; Hypocreales; Cordycipitaceae
Description: partial 18S ribosomal RNA
Source: RNAcentral
GGAAGUAAAAAUCGUAACAAG